Non-coding RNA from Schistosoma rodhaini, 48 nucleotides. Lineage: Eukaryota; Metazoa; Platyhelminthes; Trematoda; Strigeidida; Schistosomatidae. The record is from Rfam.
AUCCAGCUGACGAGUCCCAAAUAGAACGAAACGCGCGUCAAACUGCAU